RNAcentral lists this ribosomal RNA (423 nucleotides) under uncultured bacterium. Its description in RNAcentral is "bacterial SSU rRNA". It matches the Rfam family "Bacterial small subunit ribosomal RNA", at positions 28 to 445 of the family's 1533-position model. The record is from RNAcentral.
GACGAACGCUGGCGGCGUGCCUAACACAUGCAAGUCGAGCGGAGGAUGCGGCGUAGUAAUACAAAGUAUCUUUAGCGGCGGACGGGUGAGUAACACGUGGGUAACCUGCCUCAGAGUGGGGGAUAGCCUUUCGAAAGGAAGAUUAAUACCGCAUAAGAUUGUAGCGUCACAUGGCGCAGCAAGAAAAGGAGCAAUCCGCUUUGAGAUGGACCCGCGGCGCAUUAGCUAGUUGGUGAGGUAACGGCUCACCAAGGCCACGAUGCGUAGCCGACCUGAGAGGGUGAUCGGCCACAUUGGAACUGAGACACGGUCCAGACUCCUACGGGAGGCAGCAGUGGGGAAUAUUGCACAAUGGGCGAAAGCCUGAUGCAGCAACGCCGCGUGAGUGAUGAAGGCCUGGUCGUAAAGCGACUUUGAUCAGGA